UACGUAGGGAGCAAGCGUUGUCCGGAAUCAUUGGGCGUAAAGCGCGUGUAGGCGGUCCGGUAAGUCCGCUGUGAAAGUCGGGGGCUCAACCCUCGAAUGCCGGUGGAUACUGUCGGGCUUGAGUACGGGAGAGGCGAGUGGAAUUCCUGGUGUAGCGGUGAAAUGCGCAGAUAUCAGGAGGAACACCGAUUGCGAAGGCAGCUCGCUGGAACGUUACUGACGCUGAGACGCGAAAGCGUGGGGAGCAAACAGG
RNAcentral lists this ribosomal RNA (253 nucleotides) under uncultured bacterium. RNAcentral's name for it is "partial 16S ribosomal RNA". It matches the Rfam family "Bacterial small subunit ribosomal RNA", at positions 524 to 776 of the family's 1533-position model. The record is from RNAcentral.